UACAAGUAAUACACCUGGCAGACAUUUUUUUAACUACUGCUGUUACCUUGCUUACCAUGGAAUAUUAGUAACUAGAGUCCAACUUCGUAUAGAUCUAUGUGAAGUCAAUAAAGAAGCUCUUGAGAAUUUUGGAAAGGGUAAGUAAACAAAUUCCUCGCUCUAUAUGUUCCCUACAUUUAUUUAUGAGAAGCUAAAAUAUAGCUGAAAUUAUGCCAACAAUUACAUUGAAAAAUAAGAUCCCCUUGUAUUCUAUUAGAAUAAUAUAGUUAUUUGGUUUUUUGAAAAAUUUGCUUCGCCUCGUGCUUCUUGUAAAUAAAUAGUAUCUCAAGAGACUAUAAUUUGAACUAAAUUAGAAUUAGUCCUAUUUUUUACUAAUUUAAAUUUGAUUGGAGUUCUUCAACUUUUGAUUGAAAUUUGGAAGAUCUAGAGGAAUUUUCGACUUUUUAAACUUGGUCAAUAACUAUACAAAAUCCUCAUUCAUUGUAGAUUGAAAAAAAAGUGGUAUUUUUACCAAUUGCUGCUUCAUCAUGCCUUGAUGUUUGUCACUUUCAAGCUAAUUCUUGUAUAGGAGGUCUUCAUUCAAUAAUUAGCUAAUCAACUGGUUCAUUGUUUCAGUUGACCAGAUGGUGAUCAAAUUUAUGGAGUUUUGACAAUCAGCUGCUAGGUGCUUUGAGAAAACUCCCAUUUCAUCAGCAUCUUUCUUUGCAAAAUGUGAGAAAAAUUAUUUCGGAAAAUGAUAAUCAUCAGCUACUCUUGAUUGCUCGUGAACAAGGUUACCAACUUAUCAAGGGAUCAUCAGCUCAAACUUCUGGUGAUGUAAGCAAUUUUGAUAUACCUCUCCAGGAAGAUAACAAUUUUUUGGCAAAUCACCAGAAUGCCCACUAAGGCUCUUCACAUCACUACCAGGAAGUCGCCUUUUGGUUAUGGUUUUCACCAUAAGUCUAAUAAUAUGCUUCUCUUAACAUGUGAAUAUCCUUAAUGCUUGGCAAAAUGAUGCCGGAAUGCACAAAUUUUUGGAGCUAUGGUUUCUAUUGUUUUUAAUGGAUGUGUAGUAUAGGUUGGUUUAUCAAUUACUUGGGACUGGUUAUUGGUAUUUAAUUGCGUAGAUUUGUCAUCCGUAAUGCAAUAUUUUGACACGUUAACAUUACCUUAAAAAUAACACAAUGCAAGGUCAAAAGACUAGUGUAUGAAUAAUUGGAAAAAUUAAUA
Molecule: long non-coding RNA, 1209 nt
Filed under: Olea europaea subsp. europaea
Lineage: Eukaryota; Viridiplantae; Streptophyta; Magnoliopsida; Lamiales; Oleaceae
Source: RNAcentral